UUGCUUGCUUCCCUUCCCCCAUCUUGCUGUGUGACCUAUACCUCCCCACAACAUCUCAGAUAUCGUCCUGGCCCUGGAUGUGUUCCGGAAGGGGUGGCUCUUUGCCAGCUGUGCCAAGGAUCAGAGCGUCCGCAUCUGGAGAAUGAACAAGGCUGGCCAGGUGAUCUGCGUGGCUCAGGGUUCCGGUCACACACACAGCGUGGGCACUGUCUGCUGCUCUAGGCUGAAGGAGUCCUUCCUGGUAACAGGCAGCCAGGACUGCACUGUGAAGCUGUGGCCUCUUCCCAAAGCCUUGCUGUCCAAGAACACAGCCCCAGACAACGGCCCCAUCCUCCUGCAGGCCCGGACCACUCAGCGCUGCCAUGAUAAGGACAUCAACAGCGUGGCUAUUGCCCCCAAUGACAAGCUGCUGGCCACAGGCUCACAGGACCGCACGGCCAAGCUCUGGGCCCUGCCGCAGUGCCAGCUGCUGGGUGUCUUCUCAGGCCACCGGCGUGGCCUCUGGUGCGUCCAGUUCUCUCCCAUGGACCAGGUGCUGGCCACGGCCUCAGCUGACGGCACCAUCAAGCUCUGGGCACUCCAGGACUUCAGCUGUCUCAAGGUAAGCGGCGCUCCAGGCCCUCCCCACCUCCCGCCCUGGUGACAUCUCAUGCCCUACCCCCCACCUUGCAGACAUUUGAGGGGCACGAUGCUUCUGUGCUGAAAGUGGCCUUUGUGAGCCGUGGCACGCAGCUGCUGUCCAGCGGCUCGGAUGGCCUCGUGAAGCUCUGGACCAUCAAGAACAACGAGUGUGUGCGGACACUGGAUGCCCACGAGGACAAGGUCUGGGGGCUGCACUGCAGCCGGCUGGACGACCGCGCCCUCACUGGGGCCAGUGACUCCCGAGUCAUCCUCUGGAAGGUUGUGGGCCCCAAGGGCAGGGAAGAGUCGGGGUGGAGUGGAGGCCCCAUCUGACCCCAGUCUAACCCCAGGAUGUGACCGAGGCGGAGCAGGCAGAG
Molecule: small RNA, 998 nt
Filed under: Pongo abelii (Sumatran orangutan)
Lineage: Eukaryota; Metazoa; Chordata; Mammalia; Primates; Hominidae
Description: retained intron
Source: RNAcentral